AAAUUGAAGAGUUUGAUCAUGGCUCAGAUUGAACGCUGGCGGCAGGCCUAACACAUGCAAGUCGAACGGUAACAGGAAGCAGCUUGCUGCUUUGCUGACGAGUGGCGGACGGGUGAGUAAUGUCUGGGAAACUGCCUGAUGGAGGGGGAUAACUACUGGAAACGGUAGCUAAUACCGCAUAACGUCGCAAGACCAAAGAGGGGGACCUUCGGGCCUCUUGCCAUCGGAUGUGCCCAGAUGGGAUUAGCUAGUAGGUGGGGUAACGGCUCACCUAGGCGACGAUCCCUAGCUGGUCUGAGAGGAUGACCAGCCACACUGGAACUGAGACACGGUCCAGACUCCUACGGGAGGCAGCAGUGGGGAAUAUUGCACAAUGGGCGCAAGCCUGAUGCAGCCAUGCCGCGUGUAUGAAGAAGGCCUUCGGGUUGUAAAGUACUUUCAGCGGGGAGGAAGGGAGUAAAGUUAAUACCUUUGCUCAUUGACGUUACCCGCAGAAGAAGCACCGGCUAACUCCGUGCCAGCAGC
RNAcentral lists this ribosomal RNA (525 nucleotides) under Staphylococcus aureus. RNAcentral describes it as "bacterial SSU rRNA". It matches the Rfam family "Bacterial small subunit ribosomal RNA", at positions 1 to 515 of the family's 1533-position model. The record is from RNAcentral. Lineage: Bacteria; Bacillati; Bacillota; Bacilli; Caryophanales; Staphylococcaceae.